Molecule: long non-coding RNA, 1111 nt
Organism: Wyeomyia smithii (pitcher-plant mosquito)
Lineage: Eukaryota; Metazoa; Arthropoda; Insecta; Diptera; Culicidae
Exons: 3
Source: RefSeq, a predicted model, not a curated record
GCGAGUCAGUCACACUCAAUGUUUUUAUCGUUUUUAUCAUGAAAUCAAUGGUUUCAGUGAUUUUUACAACGUAAUUAGUGCAGACUAGUAUGCAAACUAUAUUUUUGCAUGAAUAUUGUAAAAAAAAUUCAUCUUGAAUAGAUGGGACUGACUUGCGGUUACCGGCAGUACGGUGUGGUAAAAUAUGCAUUUUUCAGUUUUCAUUUUUUUCGAAAGUCACAACCCACCAAAAAAAAAGUAAAAGAGAAUCAAAAAGAGUUUUGAAAAAUGAAAAACACGGUUGGCUGAAUAAAAAACAAUUUGACGAAAAACCUCUCUUAGACUCCACGAAUGAACAAUGAGAACUCGUUUGGUAUCAACAAACAGUUGGAAGCUUGGCCGACUCGCCAACGAAAACCUUUAGAAAUCGCAAGAAUUCGGAUAUUCAAGAAAACUCAAACAAUGUCACAUUUAGAACAUAACGUCGUAAGGGCCAUUUAUUGCAUCGGGGUUUUAACACUAAAUUGAAUACGAAUAAAUAGCGCUCAGUAGCGUAUAUUAGCAAGAGUUGGUAAGCUUAGCUUCCAGCUUCAGCAUUGUACAUGAAUUAGGCCAUGGAGAAGACACCAUGCGUGAUGCAAUAAACCUAUCUACACAUCUGGUUGUGUGCCUGAGCAUACUUUGGAUUUAGAACAAUGAUUAUAAAAAUAUACGUUUUAUAAACGCUGAAUAUUGCAGCAGCUGCAGCACGUGGUUUCACAUUAGGUCUAAUUGGCUAAUCGGCUAACCUUGCGCACUUCAAACGAAGUUUUAGAUAGUUGUUCUGAUCAAAUCUAUAUGCAUGGUUAGCUAUUUGUGCUUGCGACUAAUUAAAAGGUUCAUUCAUCUCUAUUCCUUUGUCGGUUUUGUAUUUUUUUUGUCAAAGUCAAUUUUUUGAUUCCACUCUGCUAUAGUGUUCUGAGUUCCGAUAGCAUGGUUGUCCCAAAUUUAUAUUUUUAGAGUUUCUGUAAACUUCAAAACCAGUGGGCCUAUAUAGAGUACUACAAAUAUAAUAUUUAAAUGCAUAUAUGGUUGACUUUGUCAAAAAAUUUGUGAUUUCACACGUGAUAACGUUUUAAUUGGUUUGUCAAGA